Molecule: ribosomal RNA, 323 nt
Filed under: uncultured beta proteobacterium
Lineage: Bacteria; Pseudomonadati; Pseudomonadota; Betaproteobacteria
Description: bacterial SSU rRNA
Rfam family: Bacterial small subunit ribosomal RNA
Source: RNAcentral
CAUAAUCUCUGAGGAGAAAAGCAGGGGAUCGCAAGACCUUGCGCUUUUGGAGCGGCCGAUGCCUGAUUAGCUUGUUGGUAAGGUAAAAGCUUACCAAGGCUUCGAUCAGUAGCUGGUCUGAGAGGACGGCCAGCCACACUGGGACUGAGACACGGCCCAGACUCCUACGGGAGGCAGCAGUGGGGAAUUUUGGACAAUGGGGGCAACCCUGAUCCAGCCAUGCCGCGUGAGUGAAGAAGGCCUUCGGGUUGUAAAGCUCUUUCAGCCGGAACGAAACGGUUACGGUUAAUACCCGUGACUAAUGACGGUACCGGAAGAAGAAG